Dermochelys coriacea (leatherback sea turtle) is the source of this 122-nucleotide long non-coding RNA. RefSeq lists it as uncharacterized. The record is from RefSeq and is a predicted model, not a curated record. The transcript has 3 exons. NCBI's taxonomy places the organism in Eukaryota, Metazoa, Chordata, Testudines, Dermochelyidae.
UGCAUCCCUUGGCCAGUGGCUCUCAACAUUUCCAGACUACUGUACCCCUUUCAGGAGUCUGACUUGUCUUGCGUACCCGCAAAUUUCACCUCACUGAAAAACAACUUGCUCACAAAAUCAGA